GAAGAGAGGAGCUUGCUCUUCUUGGAUGAGUUGCGAACGGGUGAGUAACGCGUAGGUAACCUGCCUUGUAGCGGGGGAUAACUAUUGGAAACGAUAGCUAAUACCGCAUAACAAUGGAUGACACAUGUCAUUUAUUUGAAAGGGGCAAUUGCUCCACUACAAGAUGGACCUGCGUUGUAUUAGCUAGUAGGUGAGGUAAUGGCUCACCUAGGCGACGAUACAUAGCCGACCUGAGAGGGUGAUCGGCCACACUGGGACUGAGACACGGCCCAGACUCCUACGGGAGGCAGCAGUAGGGAAUCUUCGGCAAUGGGGGCAACCCUGACCGAGCAACGCCGCGUGAGUGAAGAAGGUUUUCGGAUCGUAAAGCUCUGUUGUAAGUCAAGAACGGGUGUGAGAGUGGAAAGUUCACACUGUGACGGUAGCUUACCAGAAAGGGACGGCUAACUACGUGCCAGCAGCCGCGGUAAUACGUAGGUCCCGAGCGUUGUCCGGAUUUAUUGGGCGUAAAGCGAGCGCAGGCGGUUUGAUAAGUCUGAAGUUAAAGGCUGUGGCUCAACCAUAGUUCGCUUUGGAAACUGUCAAACUUGAGUGCAGAAGGGGAGAGUGGAAUUCCAUGUGUAGCGGUGAAAUGCGUAGAUAUAUGGAGGAACACCGGUGGCGAAAGCGGCUCUCUGGUCUGUAACUGACGCUGAGGCUCGAAAGCGUGGGGAGCGAACAGGAUUAGAUACCCUGGUAGUCCACGCCGUAAACGAUGAGUGCUAGGUGUUGGAUCCUUUCCGGGAUUCAGUGCCGCAGCUAACGCAUUAAGCACUCCGCCUGGGGAGUACGACCGCAAGGUUGAAACUCAAAGGAAUUGACGGGGGCCCGCACAAGCGGUGGAGCAUGUGGUUUAAUUCGAAGCAACGCGAAGAACCUUACCAGGUCUUGACAUCCCGAUGCUAUUUCUAGAGAUAGAAAGUUACUUCGGUACAUCGGUGACAGGUGGUGCAUGGUUGUCGUCAGCUCGUGUCGUGAGAUGUUGGGUUAAGUCCCGCAACGAGCGCAACCCCUAUUGUUAGUUGCCAUCAUUCAGUUGGGCACUCUAGCGAGACUGCCGGUAAUAAACCGGAGGAAGGUGGGGAUGACGUCAAAUCAUCAUGCCCCUUAUGACCUGGGCUACACACGUGCUACAAUGGUUGGUACAACGAGUUGCGAGUCGGUGACGGCGAGCUAAUCUCUUAAAGCCAAUCUCAGUUCGGAUUGUAGGCUGCAACUCGCCUACAUGAAGUCGGAAUCGCUAGUAAUCGCGGAUCAGCACGCCGCGGUGAAUACGUUCCCGGGCCUUGUACACACCGCCCGUCACACCACGAGAGUUUGUAACACCCGAAGUCGGUGAGGUAACCUUUUGGAGCCAGCCGCCUAAGGUGGGACAGA
This 1416-nucleotide ribosomal RNA is filed under the name Streptococcus thermophilus. RNAcentral's name for it is "bacterial SSU rRNA". It matches the Rfam family "Bacterial small subunit ribosomal RNA". The record is from RNAcentral. Lineage: Bacteria; Bacillati; Bacillota; Bacilli; Lactobacillales; Streptococcaceae.